This 66-nucleotide transfer RNA is filed under the name Panesthia sloanei. RNAcentral's name for it is "tRNA-Ala". Lineage: Eukaryota; Metazoa; Arthropoda; Insecta; Blattodea; Blaberidae. The record is from RNAcentral.
AGGAUAGUAGUUAAUAAUAACAUUUGAAUUGCACUCAAAAAGUAUUGAAAGCAUCAAUCUAUCUUG